GAUGAACGCUAGCUACAGGCUUAACACAUGCAAGUCGAGGGGCAGCAUGAUUGAAGCUUGCUUCAAUUGAUGGCGACCGGCGCACGGGUGAGUAACACGUAUCCAACCUUCCGUACACUCAGGGAUAGCCUUUCGAAAGAAAGAUUAAUACCUGAUGGUAUCUUAAGCACACAUGUAAUUAAGAUUAAAGAUUUAUCGGUGUACGAUGGGGAUGCGUUCCAUUAGGUAGUAGGCGGGGUAACGGCCCACCUAGCCUACGAUGGAUAGGGGUUCUGAGAGGAAGGUCCCCCACAUUGGAACUGAGACACGGUCCAAACUCCUACGGGAGGCAGCAGUGAGGAAUAUUGGUCAAUGGACGAGAGUCUGAACCAGCCAAGUAGCGUGAAGGAUGAAGGUCCUACGGAUUGUAAACUUCUUUUAUAAGGGAAUAAAACCUCCCACGUGUGGGAGCUUGUAUGUACCUUAUGAAUAAGCAUCGGCUAACUCCGUGCCAGCAGCCGCGGUAAUACGGAGGAUGCGAGCGUUAUCCGGAUUUAUUGGGUUUAAAGGGAGCGCAGACGGGUCGUUAAGUCAGCUGUGAAAGUUUGGGGCUCAACCUUAAAAUUGCAGUUGAUACUGGCGUCCUUGAGUGCGGUUGAGGUGUGCGGAAUUCGUGGUGUAGCGGUGAAAUGCUUAGAUAUCACGAAGAACUCCGAUUGCGAAGGCAGCACACUAAGCCGUAACUGACGUUCAUGCUCGAAAGUGUGGGUAUCAAACAGGAUUAGAUACCCUGGUAGUCCACACGGUAAAC
Molecule: ribosomal RNA, 790 nt
Filed under: uncultured bacterium
Lineage: Bacteria
Description: bacterial SSU rRNA
Rfam family: Bacterial small subunit ribosomal RNA
Source: RNAcentral